This 134-nucleotide ribosomal RNA is filed under the name Seriola rivoliana (Almaco jack). Its description in RNAcentral is "partial 16S ribosomal RNA". Lineage: Eukaryota; Metazoa; Chordata; Actinopteri; Carangiformes; Carangidae. The record is from RNAcentral.
CCAACUACAACAAAUAAUUAUAAAUAACCCCAAAAACACGACAUAAAACUAAACAAACCAUUUUUCCUCCUUAGUAUGGGCGACAGAAAAGGAACUAGUGGCGCUAUAGAUAAAGUACCGCAAGGGAAAGCUGA